GUGAGGAAUAUUGGUCAAUGGGCGCGAGCCUGAACCAGCCAAGUCGCGUGAAGGAAGAAGGAUCUAUGGUUCGUAAACUUCUUUUGCAGGGGAAUAAAGUGCAGGACGUGUCCUGUUUUGUAUGUACCCUGAGAAUAAGGAUCGGCUAACUCCGUGCCAGCAGCCGCGGUAAUACGGAGGAUCCGAGCGUUAUCCGGAUUUAUUGGGUUUAAAGGGUGCGUAGGUGGUUUGAUAAGUCAGCGGUGAAAGUUUGCAGCUUAACUGUAAAAAUGCCGUUGAAACUGUCGGACUUGAGUGUAAAUGAGGUAGGCGGAAUGCGUGGUGUAGCGGUGAAAUGCAUAGAUAUCACGCAGAACUCCGAUUGCGAAGGCAGCUUACUAAGCUACAACUGACACUGAAGCACGAAAGCGUGGGGAUCAAACAGGAUUAGAUACCCGAGUAGUCC
This 445-nucleotide ribosomal RNA is filed under the name uncultured bacterium. RNAcentral describes it as "partial 16S ribosomal RNA". It matches the Rfam family "Bacterial small subunit ribosomal RNA", at positions 354 to 796 of the family's 1533-position model. The record is from RNAcentral.